GAGAAAGCGGGGGAUCGCAAGACCUCGCGCUAUUAGAUGAGCCUAUGUCAGAUUAGCUAGUUGGUGGGGUAAAGGCCUACCAAGGCGACGAUCUGUAACUGGUCUGAGAGGAUGAUCAGUCACACUGGAACUGAGACACGGUCCAGACUCCUACGGGAGGCAGCAGUGGGGAAUAUUGGACAAUGGGCGCAAGCCUGAUCCAGCAAUACCGCGUGUGUGAAGAAGGCCUUAGGGUUGUAAAGCACUUUUAAUCGGGAGGAACACCUAAUCGCUAAUACCGAUUAGAAUGACAUUACCGAUAGAAAAAGCACCGGCUAACUCCGUGCCAGCAGCCGCGGUAAUACGGAGGGUGCAAGCGUUAAUCGGAAUUACUGGGCGUAAAGCGUGCGUAGGUGGUUAUUUAAGUCAGAUGUGAAAGCCCCGGGCUCAACCUGGGAAUGGCAUUUGAUACUGGGUAACUCGAGUUUGGGAGAGGCAAGUGGAAUUUCA
RNAcentral lists this ribosomal RNA (489 nucleotides) under uncultured bacterium. RNAcentral's name for it is "bacterial SSU rRNA". It matches the Rfam family "Bacterial small subunit ribosomal RNA", at positions 200 to 671 of the family's 1533-position model. The record is from RNAcentral.